UACGUAGGGGGCCAGCGUUGUCCGGAAUCAUUGGGCGUAAAGAGCGUGUAGGCGGCCCGGUAAGUCCGCUGUGAAAGUCCAGGGCUCAACCCUGGGAUGCCGGUGGAUACUGUCGGGCUCGAGUCCGGAAGAGGAGUGUGGAAUUCCUGGUGUAGCGGUGAAAUGCGCAGAUAUCAGGAAGAACACCAAUGGCGAAGGCAGCUCUCUGGGACGGUACUGACGCUGAGACGCGAAAGCGUGGGGAGCGAACAGG
Molecule: ribosomal RNA, 253 nt
Filed under: uncultured bacterium
Lineage: Bacteria
Description: partial 16S ribosomal RNA
Rfam family: Bacterial small subunit ribosomal RNA
Source: RNAcentral